RNAcentral lists this ribosomal RNA (250 nucleotides) under uncultured bacterium. RNAcentral's name for it is "partial 16S ribosomal RNA". It matches the Rfam family "Bacterial small subunit ribosomal RNA", at positions 524 to 769 of the family's 1533-position model. The record is from RNAcentral.
UACGUAGGGUGCGAGCGUUUGUCCGGAUUCAUUGGGCGUAAAGAGCUCGUAGGCGGUUUUGUUGCGUCGGCUGUGAAAUCCCGAGGCUCAACCUCGGGUCUGCAGUCGAUACGAGCAAACUAGAGUGUUGCAGGGGAGACUGGAAUUCCUGGUGUAGCGGUGAAAUGCGCAGAUAUCAGGAGGAACACCGGUGGCGAAGGCGGGUCUCUGGGCAACAACUGACGCUGGAGGAGCGAAAUGCGUGGGGAGC